AGCAGUCGCCGCGGUAAUACGAGGGGGGCAAGCGUUGUCCGGAAUUAUUGGGCGUAAAGGGUGCGUAGGCGGUUUGACAAGUCUUGUGUGAAAUCUAUGGGCUCAACCCAUAGUCUGCACAGGAAACUGUCGGGCUUGAGUAUUGGAGAGGUGAGUGGAAUUUCCGGUGUAGCGGUGAAAUGCGUAGAUAUCGGAAGGAACACCUGUGGCGAAAGCGGCUCACUGGACAAUAACUGACGCUGAUGCACGAAAGCUAGGGGAGCAAACAGGAUUAGAGACCCCAGUAGUCCCUGUCUCUUAUAA
RNAcentral lists this ribosomal RNA (303 nucleotides) under uncultured bacterium. Its description in RNAcentral is "partial 16S ribosomal RNA". It matches the Rfam family "Bacterial small subunit ribosomal RNA", at positions 507 to 809 of the family's 1533-position model. The record is from RNAcentral.